RNAcentral lists this ribosomal RNA (314 nucleotides) under Loa loa (African eye worm). RNAcentral describes it as "SSU rRNA". It matches the Rfam family "Eukaryotic small subunit ribosomal RNA", at positions 1519 to 1831 of the family's 1831-position model. The record is from RNAcentral. Lineage: Eukaryota; Metazoa; Nematoda; Chromadorea; Rhabditida; Onchocercidae.
GUAACCAUUACCGAAAGGUAGUGGUAACCCCUUGAAAAUCCUCCGUGAUCGGGAUCGGGAAUUGCAAUUAUUUCCCUUGAACGAGGAAUUCCUAGUAAGUGUGAGUCAUCAGCUCACGUUGAUUACGUCCCUGCCCUUUGUACACACCGCCCGUCGCUGCCCGGGACUGAGCCGUUUCGAGAAAAGCGGAGACUGCUGUUUUGAUACCUUUCGAGGUGGAGAUUCUUUGGUGGAAACCGCUUUAAUCGCAGUGGCUUGAACCGGGCAAAAGUCGUAACAAGGUUUCCGUAGGUGAACCUGCGGAAGGAUCAUUA